AGUGGUUAAAAAAAAAACUAGUGGCUAGGAUUCAUGCCUUCACACACGCGGCGCACUUUUGAUUCCCGGCAUGGGAG
Non-coding RNA from Brugia malayi, 77 nucleotides. Lineage: Eukaryota; Metazoa; Nematoda; Chromadorea; Rhabditida; Onchocercidae. The record is from the annotation of a RefSeq genome assembly.